RNAcentral lists this ribosomal RNA (207 nucleotides) under uncultured bacterium. RNAcentral's name for it is "partial 16S ribosomal RNA". It matches the Rfam family "Bacterial small subunit ribosomal RNA", at positions 568 to 774 of the family's 1533-position model. The record is from RNAcentral.
UGCGUAGGCGGGUCUUUAAGUCAGAGGUGAAAUCCUGGAGCUCAACUCCAGAACUACCUUUGAUACUGAAGAUCUUGAGUUCGGGAGAGGUGAGUGGAACUGCGAGUGUAGAGGUGAAAUUCGUAGAUAUUCGCAAGAACACCAGUGGCGAAGGCGGCUCACUGGCCCGAUACUGACGCUGAGGCACGAAAGCGUGGGGAGCAAACA